This 808-nucleotide ribosomal RNA is filed under the name Anaerolineae bacterium. Its description in RNAcentral is "partial 23S ribosomal RNA". It matches the Rfam family "Bacterial large subunit ribosomal RNA", at positions 1137 to 1950 of the family's 2925-position model. Lineage: Bacteria; Bacillati; Chloroflexota; Anaerolineae. The record is from RNAcentral.
AUAGCUCACUGGUCAAGCGAACCUGCGCCGAAAAUACAACGGGGCUAAGCUCGGUACCGAAGCUUCGAACUCUGGCAACAGAGUGGUAGGGGAGUAUUGUCAGGCAGACACACGGUGGACGGUGACGACCACUAUCGGGCCUGACAAGAGCUUAUGCAGGCAUGAGUAGCGAUAAACCGAGUGAGAAACUCGGUCGCCGUAAGCCCAAGGUUUCCUGGGGAAGGAUAAUCCUCCCAUGGGUUAGUCGGAUCCUAAGCCGAGGCCGAGAGGCGUAGGUGAUGGGAAGCAGGUUAAUAUUCCUGCACCACCAACGGUGGCGUUGAAGUAAGCGGGGACGGAGUAGGGUAGGCCGAGCACGGUGCAUGGAUCCGUGUUCAAGCCAGUAGGGAGACUUCUGAGGACCCGUUAGGGACAAACCAGGAGUCAAUUCCGAGAGGUGAUGAGGUGAGCUCUUCGGAGCUUGCAACUCGGUGAUCCCAGACUUCCAAGAAAAGCCGCGUACAGAGCUUCGUUGGUGUCCGUACCGCAAACCGACUCAGGUGGGCGGGGUGAGAAUCCCAAGGCGCGUGAGAGAACCCAGGCUAAGGAACUCGGCAAAAUGACUCUGUAACUUCGGAAGAAAGAGUGCCAUGUAAUCAUGGUUGCAAUAUCAAGUUCCAAGCAACUGUUUAUCAAAAACACAGGUCCCCGCUAAGUUGUAAAACGAUGUAUGGAGGCUGACACCUGCCCAGUGCCGGAAGGUUAAAGAAGUCGGUGUAACAGCUGAUAACUGAAGCCCCGGUGAACGGCGGCCAUAACUAUAAUGGUC